Molecule: ribosomal RNA, 303 nt
Filed under: uncultured bacterium
Lineage: Bacteria
Description: bacterial SSU rRNA
Rfam family: Bacterial small subunit ribosomal RNA
Source: RNAcentral
AAUGAACGUUGGCGGCGUGGAUUAGGCAUGCAAGUCGCGCGACAAGGAACCUUCGGGUUCUGGAGGAGCGGCAAACGGGGUAGUAAGGCAUCGGAACGUACCCUCUUGUUGGGAAUAGCCGCGGGAAACUGCGAGUAAUGCCCAAUAAUCCCUACGGGGCAAAGGUCCGCCGCAGGAGGAGCGGCCGAUGUGAUACCAGCUAGUUGGUGAGGUAAUGGCUCACCAAGGCUUAGACGUCUAGGGGGUGUGAGAGCAUGGCCCCCACCACUGGGACGUGAGAUACUGCCCACGACACCUACGGGU